Molecule: small nucleolar RNA, 72 nt
Organism: Colobus angolensis palliatus
Lineage: Eukaryota; Metazoa; Chordata; Mammalia; Primates; Cercopithecidae
Source: Ensembl
UGGAUCGAUGAUGACUGCUGGUGGCGUAUGAGUCAUAUACAAUGAAUAUGUGUCUGGAACUCUGAGGUCCGU